Molecule: ribosomal RNA, 253 nt
Filed under: uncultured bacterium
Lineage: Bacteria
Description: partial 16S ribosomal RNA
Rfam family: Bacterial small subunit ribosomal RNA
Source: RNAcentral
GACAGAGGGUGCAAACGUUGUUCGGAAUUACUGGGCGUAAAGCGCGUGUAGGCUGCUUGGAAAGUCGGAUGUGAAAGCCCUGGGCUCAACCUAGGAAGUGCAUUCGAAACUUCUGAGCUGGAGUUCUGGAGAGGAAGGCGGAAUUCUCGGUGUAGAGGUGAAAUUCGUAGAUAUCGAGAGGAACACCGGUGGCGAAGGCGGCCUUCUGGACAGUGACUGACGCUGAGACGCGAAAGCGUGGGGAGCGAACAGG